RNAcentral lists this small nuclear RNA (104 nucleotides) under Poecilia latipinna (sailfin molly). Lineage: Eukaryota; Metazoa; Chordata; Actinopteri; Cyprinodontiformes; Poeciliidae. The record is from RNAcentral.
AUCCUGGCUUACUAGGACAUAUACUAAAAUUUGAACGAUAUAGAGAUUAGCAUGGUCCUCUGCGCAAGGAUGACACGUAGACUCGUGAAGCAUUCCUCACUUUU